UAGACUUCAGGAAGAUUGCACCAGCUGGGUGAGUGGGCAGAACAGCGGCAGAUGAAUCUUCAAGGACAAGACAGCAGAUGCCUUUAGGACAAACAAUCCCAAGUCAGAAAAAAAUGGUCUCUGAAGGGUUUUGGAAGGUCCAUGCUUGCACAAGAAAUAAGACUCUUUACAGUUCUGUGUGAUUGGAAGUUUUCGCACACUUGAGCUAAGACAUGGGAAGGUAAAUUAAAAAGAAAUCAGCACUGAAGGAGAGAAUGAGGAAGUCAUAGAGUGCACACACCCAGUCUGGGCCAAGGGUGUGCACUGAAGAUAAGCCAGUCCUACCUGCCUGUCCUGAUGUACCCAGACCUGGAUCCAUGGAUUGACCGUCUGUCAGUUUGACCACAACUGGAGGAUGCUCCCAGGAAGAAGAUUCAGAAUCAGCCUCCAAGUGAGGUGUGGAUGUUCUCCAGCAACUGACGAGGACCCAGUAUUACCGAGAGUCCACGUAUAGUUUUGUUAGUUACAGAAUAUUAACUAGGAUGUUUCCUCCGAGGGUUUUAACUGCAUGGUUUUUGCACAGGUUGGGACUUGAACUGAUUUUCUGAGGAAGCUGUUCAUCAAAGGCGUCUCCAUGAGCUAACCUUGAGUUUGAUUAUUCUCUGCAAUAAUCAAUAAGAGAACAGGACAGAAAAGUUUUUUUUGUUGUUGCUGUUGUUGUUGUUGUUACAAUUUCAGCUUACUAUACUAACUCACAGCCUGUUGUACCACCAGGGUGACCCUUCUGGAGAUUUCAGUACUUAGGUGACCACUGAUCAAACUUUAUACACUUGGAUUGCUUAACAGUGUAGCAACAUGUCCAUUCAAAAUGUUUUUAUUCAUCCAUCCAACUUGAUUGACAUUCAAACCAGCUAGUGACCCGGAGCUGGGAACACUGGCAUGGGAUGCCAGCCUUCCCACCAUCCAGCUCCCAUUGGUUUCCUCAAAUUCCAGUCCUUCCCCAAAGGAACAGAUGGAGCGAGGGUGAGAAUGUAGGAAGUGAUUUUUAAAAAGGUGGGGGAGGGGUGAGCUGAAAAGGGAUGCUAGCUAAGAGAGAACAAAGAGUCCCCAAAAACAUAAUGAUUAACAAACGUACCAUUGGGACCUAGAAUGAGAAGACAGGCCAGGAGUAGGGCAGGGCUGCCAGGGCCAGUUACUCAGAGCACUAUACAGCAAACAGACACCAGAUGAGCAGCCAGGAGUGCAAACACCAGAUCCAAGUUUACUUGUCUUCCUCAUGCCCUGGUGGAGAGACUUUGUCUAUCCCUACAAUCAGGCUUCCUUUACCAAUUCGAAGAAGCAUACAGCACAGUGGGUCUGAGUUUGAUCCCUGGUACCCACAUGAUAGGAGAGAACCAAGUCCUGCAAAUUGUCCUCUGACCCCCCCUCUCUCUCUCUCUCACACACACACACAUUCACAUACUCACACACACACUCACACACAUACAUACUCACACACACACUCUCUCACACACACACACUCUCUCACACACACACACAC
This 1519-nucleotide long non-coding RNA is filed under the name Cricetulus griseus (Chinese hamster). RNAcentral describes it as "lncRNA (ENSCGRG00015030758.1)". The record is from RNAcentral. Lineage: Eukaryota; Metazoa; Chordata; Mammalia; Rodentia; Cricetidae.